Molecule: long non-coding RNA, 263 nt
Filed under: Rattus norvegicus (Norway rat)
Lineage: Eukaryota; Metazoa; Chordata; Mammalia; Rodentia; Muridae
Description: long non-coding RNA NONRATT030063
Source: RNAcentral
UAGCAUCGACCCCUCAGACUCUUCUGUGAGUGGAGCUGAAUAUACCGAAGACUGCCAAAGUAUAUCCACACAGGCGUCAAAAUGCCUAAUGCCAGAUGCAAAGGCAGACUCACCAACUGACACAGAGGAGACAGAGCUAGAUUCCAACGUAGAAAGUUCAAGCAGCUCACUGGAUAAAGUUAAAGACACAGACACAGCAAUGUUAAAGUCCUUACUAAAAAAUAUAUUCAGUAUUUUCUUCAAAUACAAUCAGUCUGAAAAAA